Molecule: non-coding RNA, 31 nt
Filed under: Homo sapiens (human)
Lineage: Eukaryota; Metazoa; Chordata; Mammalia; Primates; Hominidae
Source: RNAcentral
UGCUAUUGUCCUCCCGCGACGGUGCGAAGCU